RNAcentral lists this ribosomal RNA (468 nucleotides) under uncultured bacterium. Its description in RNAcentral is "partial 16S ribosomal RNA". It matches the Rfam family "Bacterial small subunit ribosomal RNA", at positions 28 to 507 of the family's 1533-position model. The record is from RNAcentral.
GACGAACGCUGGCGGCGUGCUUAACACAUGCAAGUCGAACGGAAAGGCCCUGCUUUUGUGGGGUGCUCGAGUGGCGAACGGGUGAGUAACACGUGAGUAACCUGCCCUUGACUUUGGGAUAACUUCAGGAAACUGGGGCUAAUACCGGAUAGGAGCUCCUGCUGCAUGGUGGGGGUUGGAAAGUUUCGGCGGUUGGGGAUGGACUCGCGGCUUAUCAGCUUGUUGGUGGGGUAGUGGCUUACCAAGGCUUUGACGGGUAGCCGGCCUGAGAGGGUGACCGGCCACAUUGGGAUUGAGAUACGGCCCAGACUCCUACGGGAGGCAGCAGUGGGGAAUAUGGCAUAAUGGGAGGAAGCCUGAUGCAGCAACGCCGCGUGCGGGAUGACUGCCUUCGGGUUGUAAACCGCUUUCGCCUGUGACGAAGCGUGAGUGACGGUAAUGGGUAAAGAAGCACCGGCUAACUACGUG